CCCUGGAGUUGUGAGGCAAGAGUCCCUGAUAUGUUAGUCCCUGCUCUCCCCACUGGCUCUCUACGUGUUAUUGGGAAAGAUAUAUCACAUUAAAGAAAAAAUAUAUAUCACAUUUUCUGCACUUCAGUUUCUCUCUCUAUAUCCUAGAAAACCACAUAUAUAUACUAUAUAUUUCUAUAUCCUAGAAGAUCAUAACUUUUUAUUUUUCUCCCUACCCCAUGUCCACACAUAGUGACUUCUUUGUCAGAGGGAAUCUUUAAUGGGAACCUGAGCAAUCCAGAGAAGGGUCGUUGUUGAGAGAGACAACAAGGUUUGAUGGAAUCUAGAAGUGGAUAUUGUCAGGAAAGACCUUGGUUCAAAUUUUCCUUCUGAUACUAGCUAUUUGACCAUGAGCAAAUCACUUUUGGAAUCUCCAUUUUGUCACCAAGCAAAUGGGAUAAUACCUGUGGCACUUGAAAGGUUGUUGUGAGGAUCAUGUACUUUAUAGCACUCUGAAAGCCUUAGAAUUCUCUAUAAAGGUUCUUUUCAGGAGUUCCCCAAGGCUCCUGAGUACAGACAACACUGGGAGAAGCCAGCCAUAAAAUAACCUGCAUCUGAUCCUCCAGAUCUGGCCCUACCCUGCAGAAGGUGAUCCUGGUGCUUUGAUGUUCUGACUGGGGAAGAAUAUCCUGCCCAUACUUUUGGAUAUCCGUUCAUUCUUCUCUGCAUCCAGGCCUCCAUGUCGAACCCAGUCCCAUCAAGCGAGAAGCUCUGUGUUUCAGGGAACCUCCGGAGAAUGAAGGCAACUGGACAUCUCACUGCUGCAUUAUCAGUUGCAACCUCAGAUUCUGAGUUGCCCAGUUCUGUAUCCAGAUCAUUAUGUGAGGAUGAAUGUUUUUUAUCCAUGGAAUCCAUGGUAAGAAGUUUUUUUGUGAAUAUAUAUGCAAACUCACUUUCUAUGUGCAAGUCUGUUGAUGCACAUGUGCCCCAUAUUUCAUGUGUGUUGGUCUCAUGUAUAUUGGUGAUAUUUGCUGCUGUGGAUAUAUAUUUAUAUCCUGUGUAUAUGGAUUUGUAUUUGAUUCAUUCUAUCAUAUAUUCAAGUACUUAUGUACUUGAUCAUAUAUUAAGUACUUUCAGUGUGCAUAGCACUUGUAUUCAUUUUAUCCCUUUCCCAUUACAUUGUGCUACAUAUACAGUAGGUACCUAA
This 1186-nucleotide long non-coding RNA is filed under the name Monodelphis domestica (gray short-tailed opossum). RNAcentral's name for it is "lncRNA (ENSMODG00000039131.1)". Lineage: Eukaryota; Metazoa; Chordata; Mammalia; Didelphimorphia; Didelphidae. The record is from RNAcentral.